CCUACGGGAGGCAGCAGUGAGGAAUAUUGGUCAAUGGCCGAGAGGCUGAACCAGCCAAGUCGCGUGAGGGAAGACGGCCCUACGGGUUGUAAACCUCUUUUGUCGGGGAGCAAAGCGGACCACGUGUGGUUCAUUGAGAGUACCCGAAGAAAAAGCAUCGGCUAACUCCGUGCCAGCAGCCGCGGUAAUACGGAGGAUGCGAGCGUUAACAGGAUUUGUUGGGGUUAAGGGGUGCGCAGGCGGAAGAUCAAGUCAGCGGUAAAAUUGAGGGGCUCAACCUCUUCGAGCCGUUGAAACUGGUUUUCUUGAGUGAGUGAGAAGUAUGCGGAAUGCGUGGUGUAGCGGUGAAAUGCAUAGAUAUCACGCAGAACUCCGAUUGCGAAGGCAGCAUACCGGCGCUCAACUGACGCUCAUGCACGAAAGUGUGGGUAUCGAACAGGAUUAGAUACCCCAGUAGUC
Molecule: ribosomal RNA, 459 nt
Filed under: uncultured bacterium
Lineage: Bacteria
Description: partial 16S ribosomal RNA
Rfam family: Bacterial small subunit ribosomal RNA
Source: RNAcentral